Non-coding RNA from Mollisiaceae sp. DMI_Dod_QoI, 83 nucleotides. Lineage: Eukaryota; Fungi; Ascomycota; Leotiomycetes; Helotiales; Mollisiaceae. The record is from the annotation of a GenBank genome assembly.
GCCCGGCUGGCACAAUUGGUUAGCGCGUGGGCCUUUUACGAAAGAGCAGCCCAAGGUUGAGAGUUCGAGCCUCUCGUCGGGCG